CCUCGUCCGGUUUUACUCCUCCUCCCAGAAACCGGACCCUAAGCGCGGUACUCCUCCUCCCAACCGCGCUUUUCAGAUCGGCCCGCUUCGCUCCUCCUCCCAAUCGCGAAGCGGGCUUUUC
Molecule: small RNA, 121 nt
Filed under: Brucella intermedia
Lineage: Bacteria; Pseudomonadati; Pseudomonadota; Alphaproteobacteria; Hyphomicrobiales; Brucellaceae
Description: Alphaproteobacterial ar14
Rfam family: Alphaproteobacterial ar14
About the family: Smr14C2 was renamed NfeR1 (Nodule Formation Efficiency RNA) highly expressed in salt stress and during the symbiotic interaction on legume roots.
Source: RNAcentral